Molecule: ribosomal RNA, 853 nt
Filed under: uncultured bacterium
Lineage: Bacteria
Description: bacterial SSU rRNA
Rfam family: Bacterial small subunit ribosomal RNA
Source: RNAcentral
AGAGUUUGAUCCUGGCUCAGGAUGAACGCUGGCGGCGUGCCUAACACAUGCAAGUCGAACGAAGCUUGACGGAUGAUUUCUUCGGAAUGAAACUAGAUAUGACUUAGUGGCGGACGGGUGAGUAACACGUGAGCAACCUGCCUUUCAGAGGGGGAUAACGGCUGGAAACGGUCGCUAAUACCGCAUGAUGUGUUCGGAUGGCAUCAUCUGAACAUCAAAGAUUUAUCGCUGAAAGAUGGGCUCGCGUCUGAUUAGAUAGUUGGUGGGGUAACGGCCUACCAAGUCUACGAUCAGUAGCCGGACUGAGAGGUUGAACGGCCACAUUGGGACUGAGAUACGGCCCAGACUCCUACGGGAGGCAGCAGUGGGGAAUAUUGCACAAUGGGGGAAACCCUGAUGCAGCAACGCCGCGUGAAGGAUGACGGUUUUCGGAUUGUAAACUUCUUUUCUUAGUGACGAAGACAGUGACGGUAGCUAAGGAAUAAGCAUCGGCUAACUACGUGCCAGCAGCCGCGGUAAUACGUAGGAUGCAAGCGUUAUCCGGAUUUACUGGGUGUAAAGGGAGCGCAGGCGGGACUGCAAGUUGGAUGUGAAAUACCGUGGCUUAACCACGGAACUGCAUCCAAAACUGUAGUUCUUGAGUGAAGUAGAGGCAAGCGGAAUUCCGAGUGUAGCGGUGAAAUGCGUAGAUAUUCGGAGGAACACCAGUGGCGAAGGCGGCUUGCUGGGCUUUAACUGACGCUGAGGCUCGAAAGUGUGGGGAGCAAACAGGAUUAGAUACCCUGGUAGUCCACACUGUAAACGAUGAUAGCUAGGUGUGGGGGGUCUGACCCCUUCCGUGCCGGAGUUAACG